Molecule: long non-coding RNA, 1311 nt
Filed under: Arabidopsis thaliana (thale cress)
Lineage: Eukaryota; Viridiplantae; Streptophyta; Magnoliopsida; Brassicales; Brassicaceae
Description: long non-coding RNA (ATHA_LNC000417)
Source: RNAcentral
UUUCAUUACCUGCACCUAUAUAUAACAUCUCUCAUCUUCAUCUUCAUCGUUUUGUUUUUGUUUUCUGUUAUAAGAAUUUUCAUAUUUUAUGUUUUUAGUUAGAAAAUAUACUAAACAUUUAAUCUGUUUUGCAGCUAAUCUUACAAACAUAUCAACAAAUACACUCUCAAAUCUGGUGAGUUAUUGAAAUGGUCCAUAGUCUUUUAUUAUCUUCAUAAAUAUGAUUCUAAAUUCUUUUAUUAUUUACUAACUAAAUAUGUUCUAUAUCUUUAUAGUUAAAGAUUACUUUUUCAAUUUCAAUCUUCAUCUCUAUGGUAUGGAUGUAUCUCUUCAAACUUUGAUAGCUCAAUCUGCAUCAAAACUCCUAGAUAAUUCAUUUGAGCAGUGUUCAAAUGUACAAAAUUUUAUUUUUUAUGAUGAUAUAAGAGUUGUAUUUCUUAUACAAUUUCUGCUCAUCUUUUCUUUGUUAAUAACUACAAAAUAUUAAAUAUAUAGGAAUAAAUUUUGCAAUAUAUUGAAAAAUAUAGCCUUGAAUAUCAAAUCCUACUAAUAAGGAAAGUUAAAAUUUAUUCCUUUAACAACUUAUAUACUCGCUUACAUCUUCUCUAAUAAGGCAAAUUACGAAAUAUUCUCUAAACAUUUAAUACACGAUAGCUAAACGUUAUCUAUUCCUAUUAAAAAAAAAAAAAUCUAACAAGAGAAAGUUGCAAUUUCGGUAAGAUUGAGUACUAUAUUAUGUAUAACUAAUAUUGUAAACAAUCUAACCUUAUUUGUAUUUUUAAAUCUCAUAGAAUAUGCUUCAUAUAAACCCUAACAUAAAGACCUAACCAUAAACACUAUAAAUAUAACCUUCACUAUUUUACCGUAAGUCAUAACCAAAAACUAACUAUAUUUAUUUGCCUACACAAUUACAUUAGAUUUUAUGUUUAAUGACUAGGAAAACUUUGCUUGCUAACCGGAUAUGGUUGCUCUAAAAUAUUCAUUGAUCCUAAUUUCAGAUGUUUGGAUAAAAAGAACUACAUGUAAGUCACUCUCUUUACUUAAUUUUCCUAAAUGUAUAAAAAAAAUUAAGGUUUACUUAAUGAUUUUUUUUGUUGUUUUAUAGGAAUGCAUUUAAAGGUGAUGAUGAUGACGACUAUGAGCUUUAUGAGGAGAUUGUUGAAACAAACUUCCAAAUGUUUUUUAGUAUCAAAAAAUAGCAAACAUUCAUGUUUGAUUGUCCUUUCGUUUUUUUUUUUGUUUUGUACUUAUGACUUAUCAACAUCGUACAUUUUGUUAUAUUUCUACUAAUCAAACUAUCAAGUUAUUAAA